Molecule: ribosomal RNA, 551 nt
Filed under: uncultured Acaulospora
Lineage: Eukaryota; Fungi; Glomeromycota; Glomeromycetes; Diversisporales; Acaulosporaceae
Description: SSU rRNA
Rfam family: Eukaryotic small subunit ribosomal RNA
Source: RNAcentral
UUGGAGGGCAAGUCUGGUGCCAGCAGCCGCGGUAAUUCCAGCUCCAAUAGCGUAUAUUAAAGUUGUUGCAGUUAAAAAGCUCGUAGUUGAAUUUCGGGAUUUGUCAGUUGGUCGGGCUUCACUGUCCGUAUUGACUUGAUGGAUUCUUACCUUCUGAAUAACCAGCAUGCUAUUAAGUUAGUGCGUUGGGGAAGCAGAUCUAUUACCUUGAAAAAAUUAGAGUGCUUAAAGCGAGCUAGUGCUUGAAUAGAUUAGCAUGGAAUAAUAAAAUAGGACGGCAUGGUUCUAUUUUGUUGGUUUCUAGGAUCACCGUAAUGAUUAAUAGGGAUAGUUGGGGGCAUUAGUAUUCAAUUGUCAGAGGUGAAAUUCUUGGAUUUAUUGAAGACUAACUUCUGCGAAAGCAUUUGCCAAGGAUGUUUUCAUUAAUCAAGAACGAAAGUUAGGGGAUCGAAGACGAUCAGAUACCGUCGUAGUCUUAACCAUAAACUAUGCCGACUAGGAAUCGGACGAUGUUAAUUUUAUAAUGACUCGUUCGGCGCCUUACGGGAAAC